This 4175-nucleotide long non-coding RNA is filed under the name Olea europaea subsp. europaea. The record is from RNAcentral. Lineage: Eukaryota; Viridiplantae; Streptophyta; Magnoliopsida; Lamiales; Oleaceae.
UUAGCUAAAGUACACAAAAUUAUGAAUAAGAAUCAGAAAAUAUAGUUCUAUAUUUAAUUGGAUUCUGCAGUACAAAAGGAAAUGAAAUAACAAGCAGCCUUUCAAGAGGGCUGUAUGCCUUAGUCUUUCUACACUCAACAGAUUUCUUGCCUCUCUCUCUCUCUUCCUCCCGUUCCCUACUUAUAUUCUUUUAUUUUAUAACUACCUUUUUCUUCUUUUCCUAUUCUACCCCUCCAACAGAAUUUGUUAUGGCUUCUUCCUUUCUCUCGAUUUCUUAAAUCUUCUUAAAUAAGUAUACUGGAUUGGGGGUCUAUCAAUUACCCCCCCCCCCCCCCCCAAAUUCAAACACCUUGUCCUCAAGGUGGAAGGGAGGAAAUUGUUGAUUAAUGAGAUGAAAUGGUUCCCAAGUAGCUUCCACGGUAGGUAACCCUUUCCACUUGAUCAAGACUUCCAAGUUUUCUGAUAUCUCCCAUGUCUCAUUCUGGAUUCCCAACGUCACUUUAGGUUCCCAAAUUCAGAGGUAACCAUGUGGUUAAGUGAUGUUGUCCCACUACUUUUCACAAUUGUGAUACAUGGAAUACUGGAUGGAUUUGUAUCCCUGGUGGUAGGUCCAACUGAUAAGUAACUUUUCCCACUUUAUCCAACACCUUGAAGGGUUCAUAGUAUCUGGGGGCCAGUUUUUCAUUGGGACGAUGUGCCAAGGAUUUACAACGAUAAGGACGCAUCUUUAAGUAAACCAUGUCCCCUGUAAUAAACUCUACUGUACUUCUAUGUUUGUCAGCCACCUUUUCCAUCUAUUGUUGAGCUCGAUGCAAAUGGACCUUGAGCUCCUCUAGUACCUUGUCCUUUUCAGCCAGUUGUUGGUCCAACAAAGGGACCACUAUAGUUCCCUUUUCGAAACGCAUUAGGGAAGGGGGAUCACGCCCGUAUACAAUUCGAAAAGGGGUGAAUUGAGUGGAUACAUGAAAGGAAGUGUUGUAAGAGAGUUCAGCCCAAGGUACGUAGCACACCCAAUCCUUUGGUCUUACUGAAGUAAAGCAACACAGGUAGGUCUCCACUCCUCGAUUGAGCACCUUGGUUUGCCCAUUAUUUUGUGGAUGAUAGGCCGAGCUACACUUUAACUUGGUUCCGUGGAAUCGGAAUAGCUAAGUCCAAAACUUGCUGAGAAAUACUUUAUCUCUAUCUGAAACUAUUGACUGGGGAAUCCCAUGCAAUCGUACUACUUUUCUCAUAAAAACAGUUGCAAUGGAAGGGGCCAUGAAAGGAUGCUUGAGACUUAUAAAAUGAGCAUACUUACUUAAGCGAUCAACAACCACCAAAAUCGAAUCAAACCCUUCUGACUUCAGCAAUCCUUCUAUGAAAUCCAUAGAGAUGUCUUCCCAUACCUUCUCGGGGACCAGAAGAGAUUGCAUCAACCCUGCAGGUGCAAGAGUGGAAUAUUUAUGCUGCUGGCAAGUUGUACAGGUGGUCACAUAUGAGCGAAUAUCCUUCUUCAUGCCCACCCAAUAAAAUGUCUUCGCUAUUCUCUUGUAAGUUUUCAGGAAACCUCCAUAUCCCCCAAUCUUACUGUCGUAUCCUUCUUGUAAUGCCAUUAAUAUGAAAGGGGAGUCCUUGGGUAAAGAGAUCCAAUCCUUAUACAGCAAAGCCCCACACACCAAGGUAUAUCCCGGAUAGGCUGAGGAAUCUGUCUUUAAUGUUGCCAUAAUUUUUCCCAGUUCUUGAUCUGCCUUUACUGCUUCUAUUACUUCUUCUAUUCGAAUUGUACUUGGUACAGUCAUUAAGGUGGCUGCUAACCUCUUUUGAGAUAGAGCGUUCACCGCCUUAUUCUCCAAUCUUGGUUUGUACUCAAUCUCAAAGUCAAAACCCACUAACUUUGUUAGCCAUUUUUGAUAUACGACACUCACUAGCCUUUGUUCGAGCAGAAACUUUAGGUUUUUUUAUCUGUCCUCACGAUGAAUCACCUUCCCAACAAAUAGUGUCUCUAUUUCUGUACCGCCAGCACAAUAGCCAUUAGUUCCCUUUCAUAAAUCGACUUAUUUUGGACUCUUGGUGGAAGAACCUGACUGAAGUAAGCUAUAGGCCUCAUGUUUUGCAUUAAAACAGCUCCUAAUCCAUGUUCAGAAGCAUCAGUUUCAAUCACAAAGGGUUGCAAGAAAUUGGUAAGAUCUAAGACUGGCAUUGUUAUCACUGCUUUCUUUAUUUCUAGGAAUGCUACUUCAGUUGCAUCGUUCCAUCCAAAACUAUCUUUUUUAAGUUGCUGAGUCGAAGGCCAUGUAAUUUUCCCGUAGCCCUCCACAAAACGCCGAUAAUACCCAGUCAGUCCUAGGAAUUCCCGCAACUCCUUAAGUGAUGUUGGGUGCAGCCAGUCUCUCAUGGCAACCACCUUCGUUUCAUCCGCCACCACUCCUUUGGCUGAAAUGAUGUGUCCCAAGUACUCAAUCUCUUUUUGGCCAAACGAGCACUUCUUCUUGUUGGCAAAGAGCUGAUUGUUCACUAGAAUCUGUAUUACCACCCUUAAAUGAUCCCUAUGCUCGACCUCUGUACGCCUAUAAACCAAUAUGUUGUCAAAAAAGACUAAGACAUAUUUCCCUGAGUUGAUUUUUGAAGACUGUAUUCAUUAGAGACUGAAAAGUGGCAAGGCAUUAGUUAACCCAAACGACAUGAUGGGGAACUCAUAAUGCCCUUUGUGUGUUUUCGAAAUGCAGUUUUAGGAAUAUCCUUAGCCUUCACCCUAAUCUGAUGGUACCCCGAGCUGAGGUCGAUUUUUGAAAAUGCAGUCGCUCCGUUUAAUUCAUCCAGUAAUCUGUCAAUAACAAGGAUAGAAAAUUUAUGCAAAACCGUUGCCUAGUUAAGAGCCUGAUAAUCAACACAAAAUCGCCAACUUCCAUAUUUCUUCCUUAGCAGAAGUACCAGAUUGGAAAAUGGAUUGGUGCUAUGCUGGAUAAUUCCCGCAGCCAACAUCUCUUGUACUAACUGUUUGAUUUCAUUCUUCUGGAAGUAGAGAUAUCGGUAUGGUUUCACAUUGAUUGGAAUAGCCCCGGACUUCAUAACAAUUGCAUGAUCGUGACUCCAUUCUGGGAGGUAGUUGGGUGAGCUCUUCAAAGACUACUGAGAAUUCUUCCAAAAUUUCUACGAUCAUUGUUGGUGAUUGAGAUGGAGAACAGUUGGUCUCAACAACAAUAUUUCCCAAUUCUAGUAACAUCCCUUCUCGUUGCUCCUGAAAGGCCUUCCACAUUGAUAUAAGCAAGACAAGAGUUUUACUGAGGCUUGUUUCUCCUUGCAACAAAACCUUAGUUCCUGAGAUGUUGAGAGUCAUAGUCAAUGUAUUCCAGUCUACUUGCAUUUUGCCUAGUUUCUGUAGCCACUACAUACCCAAUAUAACGUCUGAGCUUCCCAGCUCUAAGGGCAAAAAAUCUUCAACUACCAACAACCCAGGUAAAUUCAAGGCGACUCCCCUACAAACGCCUUCCCCUUUUAUAGUUAAGCCCGUACCCAUUAUCACCCCAUAGCUCAUGGUGCCCAAUAAUGGAAUACCUAGUUGCUAUACCAACUUGGUAGAUAUAAAGUUAUGGGAGGCUCCACUAUCGACCAAUACCACGACCUCUUUUGUGCCAAUCCUCCCGACAGCUUCAUGGUACUAGGACAAUGAGCCCAACCAUGGAAUUAAUUGACAAUUCCACUGGCUGAUCCAACCCAUGGGCUUCAUCCUCCUCGAAAACCACCUUACCUUCAACCUUAGUGUCGUCAGAGCUAAGCUCGCAGGUCCACCGUACCUCGCCCAUCAAGUCGUCCUCUUCUACUUCACGGACUACCAACACUUGCAACUCCUUGUUCUUACAUUAUGGCCAAUAGUAAACUUAUCAUUGCACUUAUAGCACAAACCCUUCUCCCUCUUGGCCUGAAUUUUAGCAUCAGUGAGCCUAUUAAAUGUCGUGGAAUUUUUGGGAAAAUAAUUAGGGUGUUGAGGUGGGUACAGAUUUACUGGAACGAUGUUUCUGGUUUGGGUUGAAGUGGGUUAUGGUGGGUUUGGGAUGUGGUAUGGGAUGCUUUUAGGCUUAGUUGGGCUUUCUGGGUAAUUAGAUUUCGAUCCUCAACCAUUUGGGCCACCUCUAUUAUUUGCUCUAAGCGUAAUAGACCAAGUAAAUGGACCUCAGCUCUGAUUUCUGGUUCCAAGC